UUGAGGGCCACUUGGAAUGGAACCUGUGAGCUCAUUGUUGCUCAACUGCAAGUCGGUCAACUGUGAAAGCUUUCCAAAUGUCUGAGGUAUUUCUCCUGAAAGCCUAUUGUGAGACGAGUCUAAACUCUCUAAAUUAUCCAUUUCACCCAGUGUUUUCGGUAUUCUACCUGAGAGCUUGUUGCGGGACAUGUUUAAUAUUUUCAAAUUUCUCAAACAACCCAAUGUAUUAGGAAUUUAACCUGAUAAUUGAUUGUUUGAUAAAUCCAAAAAGGUGUACAGACGAAGGUGUUGGCCGGGAAGAUCUCGCAUCAAAUUUUUCCAAUAUACUUCUAAAUCAGGAUAUACAAGACUGACAUAAUAUUCCAGCGGCUGUAGACAAGUUUAUCCAGGUGAAGUAAUGAAGCAUCGGAAUUAGGAUUAAUCAUUCCACUAAGAUUUCCCAAACCAGGUGUCACUUCUCCGCUGAAGUCAUUGUCAGAGAGAUCAAGUAUUUG
This 494-nucleotide unclassified non-coding RNA is filed under the name Hevea brasiliensis (rubber tree). Lineage: Eukaryota; Viridiplantae; Streptophyta; Magnoliopsida; Malpighiales; Euphorbiaceae. The record is from RNAcentral.